This 279-nucleotide ribosomal RNA is filed under the name uncultured bacterium. Its description in RNAcentral is "partial 16S ribosomal RNA". It matches the Rfam family "Bacterial small subunit ribosomal RNA", at positions 506 to 784 of the family's 1533-position model. The record is from RNAcentral.
UGCCAGCCGCCGCGGUAAUACAGAGGGUGCGAGCGUUAAUCGGAAUUACUGGGCGUAAAGGGCGCGUAGGCGGCCUGAUAAGUCGGAUGUGAAAGCCCUGGGCUUAACCUGGGAAUUGCGUUCGAUACUGUCAAGCUAGAGUAUGGUAGAGGAAAGCGGAAUUCCGGGUGUAGCGGUGAAAUGCGUAGAUAUCCGGAGGAACAUCAGUGGCGAAGGCGGCUUUCUGGACCAAUACUGACGCUCAGGUGCGAAAGCGUGGGUAGCGAACGGGAUUAGAUA